RNAcentral lists this ribosomal RNA (253 nucleotides) under uncultured bacterium. Its description in RNAcentral is "partial 16S ribosomal RNA". It matches the Rfam family "Bacterial small subunit ribosomal RNA", at positions 524 to 776 of the family's 1533-position model. The record is from RNAcentral.
UACGUAGGUGGCAAGCGUUGUCCGGAUUUACUGGGCGUAAAGGGCGUGCAGGCGGUCUGUUAAGUUCAGGGUGAAAGCUCCCGGCUCAACUGGGAGAGGUCCUUGGAUACUGGCAGACUUGAGGGAGGUAGAGGAGAGUGGAAUUCCCGGUGUAGUGGUGAUAUGCGCAGAUAUCAGGAAGAACACCCGUGGCUAAGGCGGCUCUCUAGUACGGUACUGACGCUGAGACGCGAAAGCGUGGGGAGCGAACAGG